This 443-nucleotide ribosomal RNA is filed under the name uncultured prokaryote. RNAcentral describes it as "bacterial SSU rRNA". It matches the Rfam family "Bacterial small subunit ribosomal RNA", at positions 355 to 796 of the family's 1533-position model. The record is from RNAcentral.
UAAGGAAUAUUGGUCAAUGGGGGCAACCCUGAACCAGCCAUGCCGCGUGAAGGAAGACGGUUCUAGUAAUUGUAAACUUCUUUUAUGAGGGAAUAAAUAGGUGCUAUACGCACCUUUGUAGGUACCUCAUGAAUAAGCACCGGCUAACUACGUGCCAGCAGCCGCGGUAAUACGUAGGGUGCAAGCGUUGUCCGGAUUUAUUGGGUUUAAAGGGUGCGCAGGCGGAUUGUUAAGUUAGUGGUUAAAGAGUCUCGCUCAACGAGAUAAGUGCCAUUGAUACUGGCAGUCUUGAGUGUGUCUGAGGAAGUUAGAAUGCGUGGUGUAGCGGUGAAAUGCAUAGAUAUCACGCAGAAUACCGAUUGCGAAGGCAGACUUCUAAGGCAUAACUGACGCUGAGGCACGAAAGCGUGGGGAGCGAACAGGAUUAGAUACCCCCGUAGUCC